GAUGAACGCUGGCGGCGUGCCUAAUACAUGCAAGUCGAGCGAACAGAUGAGGAGCUUGCUCCUCUGACGUUAGCGGCGGACGGGUGAGUAACACGUGGAUAACCUACCUAUAAGACUGGGAUAACUUCGGGAAACCGGAGCUAAUACCGGAUAAUAUAUUGAACCGCAUGGUUCAAUAGUGAAAGACGGUUUUGCUGUCACUUAUAGCUGGAUCCGCGCCGCAUUAGCUAGUUGGUAAGGUAACGGCUUACCAAGGCAUCGAUGCGUAGCCGACCUGAGAGGGUGAUCGGCCACACUGGAACUGAGACACGGUCCAGACUCCUACGGGAGGCAGCAGUAGGGAAUCUUCCGCAAUGGGCGAAAGCCUGACGGAGCAACGCCGCGUGAGUGAUGAAGGUCUUCGGAUCGUAAAACUCUGUUAUUAGGGAAGAACAAAUGUGUAAGUAACUAUGCACGUCUUGACGGUACCUAAUCAGAAAGCCACGGCUAACUACGUG
This 497-nucleotide ribosomal RNA is filed under the name uncultured bacterium. RNAcentral describes it as "partial 16S ribosomal RNA". It matches the Rfam family "Bacterial small subunit ribosomal RNA", at positions 28 to 507 of the family's 1533-position model. The record is from RNAcentral.